This 72-nucleotide transfer RNA is filed under the name Dipodomys ordii (Ord's kangaroo rat). It matches the Rfam family "tRNA". Rfam says of the family: Transfer RNA (tRNA) molecules are approximately 80 nucleotides in length. Their secondary structure includes four short double-helical elements and three loops (D, anti-codon, and T loops). Lineage: Eukaryota; Metazoa; Chordata; Mammalia; Rodentia; Heteromyidae. The record is from Rfam by way of RNAcentral.
GGAGGCAUGGCUCUAUAGUAGAGCACCUGCCCAGCAAGUGUGAGGUCCUGAGUUCAAAUUCCAGUACCACCA